RNAcentral lists this ribosomal RNA (403 nucleotides) under uncultured bacterium. Its description in RNAcentral is "bacterial SSU rRNA". It matches the Rfam family "Bacterial small subunit ribosomal RNA", at positions 355 to 774 of the family's 1533-position model. The record is from RNAcentral.
UAGGGAAUAUUGCAAAAUGGGCGAAAGCCCGAUGCAGCAACGCCGCGUGGGCGAUGAAGGCCUUCGGGUCGUAAAGCCCUUUUUGAGGGGAUGAGGAAGGACAGUACCCUCAGAAUAAGCCUCGGCUAACUACGUGCCAGCAGCCGCGGUAAAACGUAGGCGGCGAGCGUUAUCCGGAUUUACUGGGCGUAAAGCGCGUGCAGGCGGAUUGGAGAGUUGGAUGUGAAAGCUCCCGGCUUAACUGGGAGAGGUCGUUCAAUACUUCCAGUCUUGAGUGCAGUAGAGGGAAGUGGAAUUCCGGGUGUAGUGGUGAAAUGCGUAGAUAUCCGGAGGAACACCAGUGGCGAAAGCGGCUUCCUGGACUGUAACUGACGCUCAGACGCGAAAGCUAGGGUAGCAAACG